This 77-nucleotide transfer RNA is filed under the name Sulfurihydrogenibium azorense Az-Fu1. RNAcentral's name for it is "tRNA-Ile". It matches the Rfam family "tRNA". Rfam says of the family: Transfer RNA (tRNA) molecules are approximately 80 nucleotides in length. Their secondary structure includes four short double-helical elements and three loops (D, anti-codon, and T loops). The record is from RNAcentral. Lineage: Bacteria; Pseudomonadati; Aquificota; Aquificia; Aquificales; Hydrogenothermaceae.
GGGCCUUUAGCUCAGGCGGUUAGAGCGUACCCCUGAUAAGGGUAAGGUCAGUGGUUCAAGUCCACUAAGGCCCAUAG